Molecule: long non-coding RNA, 1939 nt
Organism: Carassius auratus (goldfish)
Lineage: Eukaryota; Metazoa; Chordata; Actinopteri; Cypriniformes; Cyprinidae
Exons: 19
Source: RefSeq, a predicted model, not a curated record
UGUCUGUGCUCUUACUUGUUCAAUGUUCAUCCUGAGCUUCCAACUGGCAUACAACUGCAGGGCAAGUGUACAACUGGAGACGGUAUGUUCUAAGUCUAUCUAUAUCUAAAUGAAUAACUCUUAUAAUGAUCCAUCAGUUGAAUAUGUACAGCUGUUCCAUGUUAUGAUUGAAGUGUUAUCUGAAGGUAAUCCAUUUUAUCAAUGCAACACUCUGAAAUGAGAAUUGUAUCACUGUAUUGUCUGUUCUGUUUUUGUGUCCAUAUGAUAUGAGCGCUAUCCUGAGAUUCCAACAUGGUCAGAGUCCAGUUAAUCCAGCCUGUAAUUCAAACAAGUGAUCAUCAUUUUCAAACCAACAUCUCCCAUAAUUGCUCUUCUUUCUUGAGCUAGUAAGCUUCACCCAGCCAAGUCAUUCUAAGCCAUCCAAAUCAUAAUGGAUGCUUCCAAACAUUAUAGGAAGCAUCCACAAAGACUGCCUGCAUCCAUCCAUUUGUCUCCUAAUAUCACAAUUAAGUCAAUAGAACAACACAAAAUUGAUUUCUGCAAUACGCUACAUAUUUGAAACUUCCUCCUUAUCCUAUAUUUGAUUUUUCUACGCCAUGAACUGUUUUUAUGAAGAGGCACACAACCAAUCAAAAGGUUUGUGCAUCAAAACCCAAUAUCUCCUGUCCACUACUCCCAAAAGAUUUCUGCAAUUUACUACACAUCAAACUUCCUUCUCCAAUAUGACUCUCAGCCCCAUGAACUGUUUUUAUGAAGAGGCACACAACCAAUAAAAAGGUUUGUACAUGAAAACCCAAUUUCUACGAUCCACUACUCCAAAAAGAUUUCUACAAUAUUCAAACUUCUCCAUUAUAUGAUUCUCUGCUCCAUGAACUGUAUUUUAUGAAACUGCACAAAACCGAUAAAAAGUUUUGUGCAGAACAAGUCAAUAACUACUGUCCACUACUCCCAAAAGAUUUUUGCAAUGCAUUACAUAUGUGAAACUUCCGCUUAUCCAUUAUGAUUCUCUGCUCCAAGAAACUGUUUUUAUGAAGAGGCACACAACCAAUCAAAGGGUAAAUUCAUAUCUGCAAUACUGUAAUUGACUCCUUUCUUAAAGCAGUCUUUCACCUGCUGAUACAUUUUUCAGGUUUGUGUAUGAAAACCCAAUAUCUACUGUCCACUGUUCCCAAAAGAUUUCUACAAUAUGCUACACUUAAAACUUCUCCAUUAUAUGAUUCUCUGCUCCAUGAACUGUAUUUUAUGAAGCUGCACAAAACCGAUAAAAAGUUUUGUGCAGAACAAGUCCGUAACUACUGCCCACUACUCCCAAAAGAUUUCUGCAAUGCGCUACAUAUGUGAAACUUCCUCCUUAUUCAUUCUGAUUCUCCACUCCAUGAACUGUUUUUAUGAAGAGGCACACAACCAAUAAAAAGGUUUGUGCAACACGUUACACUUCAAACGUCCGUCUUAUCCAUUAUGAUUCUCUGCUUCCUGAACUAUUUUUAUGAAGAGGCACACAACCAAUAAAAAGGUUUGUGCAUGAAAACCCAAUAUCCAUUGUCCACUGUUCCCAAAAGAUUUCUGCAAUACGCUACAUAUGUGAAACUUCCUCCUUAUCCAUUCUGAUUCUCCGCUCCAAGAAACUGUUUUUAUGAAGAGGCACACAACCAAUAAAAAGGUUUGUGUAUGAAAACCCAAUUUCUACGAUCCACUACUCCAAAAAGAUUUCUACAAUAUGCUACACUUAAAACUUCUCCAUUAUAUGAUUCUCUGCUCCAUGAACUGUAUUUUAUGAAGCUGCACAAAACCGAUAAAAAGUUUUGUGCAGAACAAGUCCGUAACUACUGCCCACUACUCCCAAAAGAUUUCUGCAAUGCGCUACAUAUGUGAAACUUCCUCCUUAUUCAUUCUGAUUCUCCACUCCAUGAACUGUUUUUAUGAAGAGGCACACAACCAA